CCAGUUUUGCCUUCCGUCCCAACUAUCAAAAUUCUGUUCCGCCUUCUCUUCCAAAUUCGUAACGGGUUAAAAAAUAUAUUCUAUAAUUCGCUCCGCCUCACAACUCACCUUCUCCCAGCGGCCCGAAUCUGCUUCGCCAAUUAAUAUUUAAAAAAAAUAUAUAAUAUUAUUAAAUAUUUGAUAAAAUAUAAAUUAGUGUUUUUUUAAUAAUAAUGAAUAAUAUUACUAAGUUUAUAUAUAUAUAUAUAUAUAUAUAUAUAUAUAUAUAUAUAUAUUAACAAUAUCAAUCAUAAAUCGAAAUAAAAUUUAAAAGUUUCAAAUAUAUGAUAAAUGAGAGCACCAACUUAUUUGUAUUUUAGACUUUUUGAUAAAUAUACUAUUCUUAGGGAUAUUUUUUUAAAGGGGUAAUUGCCUAUAUACUCCUCAUACGUUUGAAAAUAUCCGAUUUACCUCUAUUUUUUUUUUGUCUUUCUAAAAUACCCGUCAUAUGUUUCACCGUUAUUACAAAAUACCCCCGCAGUUAUUUCCUGUUAAGUUAAUUUGGGUUAAACGUGAGUUAAAUAUCUACCACAGUUAAAAAAAAAUAAAAUGUUAAUUUUGCCCUUAACUUAAGGGCAAAUAAGAAAUGUUGGUGACGGUAAAGGUGUAUAUUGGAAAAGACCAAAAGUCAAAAUACUUUUGUGCCCCUGACUUUAAGGACAAAUAAGAAAGUCAGUGAUGAUGGAAGGGUAUAUUUGAAAUGGCAAAAUAGUAAUUUUACAGAGAUAACAUAGUUCAUUAAUAGAUUUUAACUUUAGGGGUAUAUUAGAAAUAUGUUGGAACGUAGAAAGGGUAUCAAUAUUAGCCUUCUAAGAGGGGUAAAUCGGAAAGUCAAGAACUUUUCAAAGGUAUAUAAGUAAUUGCCCAUUUUUUUAAAUAUAAACGGUUUUCGGAACGGAUUCGGGGCAGAUUAUGGCGGGACGGAUUCGAAGCCGGUCAAAAUUUUUUUCAUUUCCUCCAAAACCAUCUCGGAUCAUAAAAAUUAUUUUCUUUUCUGUCCCGAAUCCAUUUAUUUCUUCCAGUUUAUUGCUCCAUUCGGGGUGGACCGGGGCAAGAGCUCCAUCAAUCCGGAUCCGUUUGCAUCCCUAGUAAUCAUCAACA
RNAcentral lists this long non-coding RNA (1140 nucleotides) under Ananas comosus (pineapple). RNAcentral describes it as "long non-coding RNA (ACOM_LNC044360)". Lineage: Eukaryota; Viridiplantae; Streptophyta; Magnoliopsida; Poales; Bromeliaceae. The record is from RNAcentral.